RNAcentral lists this ribosomal RNA (497 nucleotides) under uncultured bacterium. RNAcentral's name for it is "partial 16S ribosomal RNA". It matches the Rfam family "Bacterial small subunit ribosomal RNA", at positions 28 to 507 of the family's 1533-position model. The record is from RNAcentral.
GAUGAACGCUGGCGGCGUGCCUAAUACAUGCAAGUCGAGCGAACAGACGAUGAGCUUGCGCCUUUGACGUUAGCGGCUGGCGGGCGAGUAACACGUGGAUAACAUACCUAUUAUUCUGGGAGAACUUCGGCAAACCGGUUCUAAUACCGGAUAAUAUAUUGAACCGGAUGGUUCAAUAGUUAAAGACGGCUUUUGUGUCACUAAUAGAUGGAUCCGCGCCGCAUUAGCUAGUUGGUAAGGUAACGGCCUACCAAGGCGACGAUGCGUAGCCGACCUGAGAGGGUGAUCGGCCACACUGGAACUGAGACACGGUCCAGACUCCUACGGGAGGCAGCAGUAGGGAAUCUUGCGCAAUGGGCGGAAGCCUGACGCAGCAACGCCGCGUGGGUGAUGAAGGCCUUCGGAUCGUAAAGCUCUGUUAUUAGGGAAGAAAAAAUGUGUAUGUAUCUCUGGCUGUUUUGACGGUACCUAAUGAGAAAGCCCCGGCUAACUACGUG